CCAAAGGCUCUUUUAAGAGCCCUCAGAAACCCUGAAGGACUAUUG
Molecule: non-coding RNA, 45 nt
Organism: Xiphophorus maculatus (southern platyfish)
Lineage: Eukaryota; Metazoa; Chordata; Actinopteri; Cyprinodontiformes; Poeciliidae
Source: Rfam